RNAcentral lists this ribosomal RNA (735 nucleotides) under uncultured Fusobacterium sp. RNAcentral describes it as "bacterial SSU rRNA". It matches the Rfam family "Bacterial small subunit ribosomal RNA", at positions 28 to 776 of the family's 1533-position model. Lineage: Bacteria; Fusobacteriati; Fusobacteriota; Fusobacteriia; Fusobacteriales; Fusobacteriaceae. The record is from RNAcentral.
GAUGAACGCUGACAGAAUGCUUAACACAUGCAAGUCAACUUGAAUUUGGGUUUUUAACUUAGGUUUGGGUGGCGGACGGGUGAGUAACGCGUAAAGAACUUGCCUCACAGUUAGGGACAACAUUUGGAAACGAAUGCUAAUACCUAAUAUUAUGAUAAUAGGGCAUCCUAUGAUUAUGAAAGCUAUAAGCGCUGUGAGAGAGCUUUGCGUCCCAUUAGCUAGUUGGAGAGGUAACGGCUCACCAAGGCGAUGAUGGGUAGCCGGCCUGAGAGGGUGAUCGGCCACAAGGGGACUGAGACACGGCCCUUACUCCUACGGGAAGCAGCAGUGGGGAAUAUUGGACAAUGGACCAAGAGUCUGAUCCAGCAAUUCUGUGUGCACGAUGAAGUUUUUCGGAAUGUAAAGUGCUUUCAGUUGGGAAGAAAGAAAUGACGGUACCAACAGAAGAAGUGACGGCUAAAUACGUGCCAGCAGCCGCGGUAAUACGUAUGUCACGAGCGUUAUCCGGAUUUAUUGGGCGUAAAGCGCGUCUAGGUGGUUAUGUAAGUCUGAUGUGAAAAUGCAGGGCUCAACUCUGUAUUGCGUUGGAAACUGUAUAACUAGAGUACUGGAGAGGUAAGCGGAACUACAAGUGUAGAGGUGAAAUUCGUAGAUAUUUGUAGGAAUGCCGAUGGGGAAGCCAGCUUACUGGACAGAUACUGACGCUGAAGCGCGAAAGCGUGGGUAGCAAACAGG